UCUGGAACUUUCCACAGACCCUUGCUACCUUGAUCCAGAAGCCAUGGUGACACAAGAGUUUCAAAAGAGAAAGGGAAACCCUCAGAAGUCCUGGACAACUUUGGAGAUGUUCUGGAAAACAGGCUCUGUUUUGCAGACUGUCUUCUCUGAAUGGUCUACAUAUCCCAUCGCUCCAUCUUCUCAUGUUUUGUAAAUGACUUCAAGUAUUUAUGCAGAGUGGCCCCUGAGCAUUGUGGGCCUGGCGACUGGCCUGGUGGAUGAUGUGUUAGGUGUUGUAAGAUUUGGCAGGAGAAGAGGAAUGUUCUACUCUGUUCUGUGAAACCCAGGAAAUGACUCUGCUUCCAGGAUGAGGCCGAGAAAGCAAUUCCUCUGGGUCUGAACACUGAGGAGGGGGAGUUCCACUUGCCACUCUCUGUCACUCAUCUUUGCAUGCCUGGGGCCAGAAGCCCAUGCCUGGGGCUAAUAACAUGUAUGCAUACACAUUAAUAAAUUAUGUUCUGUUUGCCAGCUA
Molecule: long non-coding RNA, 511 nt
Organism: Mesocricetus auratus (golden hamster)
Lineage: Eukaryota; Metazoa; Chordata; Mammalia; Rodentia; Cricetidae
Exons: 2
Source: RefSeq, a predicted model, not a curated record